RNAcentral lists this non-coding RNA (74 nucleotides) under Candidatus Collierbacteria bacterium GW2011_GWA1_42_60. The record is from RNAcentral. RNAcentral also lists the same sequence under 1 other name. Lineage: Bacteria; Candidatus Collieribacteriota.
AUUCGCCAGGGUGCGGGAAAUCCGCGUGCUCGGCGAGAGGGAAGUUUGUAGAGUGAUUUACAUAGUUAUCCCAG